CACGUAGGGGGCAAGCGUUGUCCGGAAUUAUUGGGCGUAAAGAGCUCGUAGGCGGCUCGGUAAGUCAGGUGUCAAAUCCUCAGGCUCAACCUGGGCUCCACCUGAUACUGCUGUGGCUAGAGUCCGGUAGGGGAGCGUGGAAUUCCUGGUGUAGCGGUGAAAUGCGCAGAUAUCAGGAGGAACACCAGCGGCGAAGGCGGCGCUCUGGGCCGGAACUGACGCUGAGGAGCGAAAGCGUGGGUAGCAAACAGG
Molecule: ribosomal RNA, 252 nt
Filed under: uncultured bacterium
Lineage: Bacteria
Description: partial 16S ribosomal RNA
Rfam family: Bacterial small subunit ribosomal RNA
Source: RNAcentral